RNAcentral lists this ribosomal RNA (561 nucleotides) under Hepatozoon sp. RNAcentral describes it as "bacterial SSU rRNA". It matches the Rfam family "Eukaryotic small subunit ribosomal RNA", at positions 367 to 918 of the family's 1831-position model. Lineage: Eukaryota; Apicomplexa; Hepatozoidae. The record is from RNAcentral.
GGAUUAGGGUUCGAUUCCGGAGAGGGAGCCUGAGAAACGGCUACCACAUCUAAGGAAGGCAGCAGGCGCGCAAAUUACCCAAUUCUAACAGCAUAAGAGAGGUAGUGACAAGAAAUAACAGUACAAGGCAGUUAAAAUGCUUUGUAAUUGGAAUGAUAGAAAUUUAAACACUUUUUAAAGUAUCAAUUGGAGGGCAAGUCUGGUGCCAGCAGCCGCGGUAAUUCCAGCUCCAAUAGCGUAUAUUAAAAUUGUUGCAGUUAAAAAGCUCGUAGUUGAAUUUCUGCUAAAAAUAACUGGUCUGCUUUUAUUCAUAAAAGUGGUAUCUUGGUGUGUUUUUAGUAAUAAUAUCUUCAGAAAUGUUUUUUACUUUAUUGUAAAAAGCAAUAUUCAGGAUUUUUACUUUGAGAAAAUUAGAGUGUUUCAAGCAAGCUAACGUUUUGAAUACUGCAGCAUGGAAUAAUAAAAUAGGAUUUUGGUUCUACAUUAUUGGUUUUAAGAACUAAAUUAAUGAUUGAUAGGAACAGUUGGGGGCAUUUGUAUUUAACUGUCAGAGGUGAAAUU